Molecule: ribosomal RNA, 450 nt
Filed under: uncultured bacterium
Lineage: Bacteria
Description: bacterial SSU rRNA
Rfam family: Bacterial small subunit ribosomal RNA
Source: RNAcentral
GUGGGGAAUAUUGGACAAUGGGCGAAAGCCUGAUCCAGCCAUGCCGCGUGUGUGAAGAAGGUCUUCGGAUUGUAAAGCACUUUAAGUUGGGAGGAAGGGCAGUAAGUUAAUACCUUGCUGUUUUGACGUUACCGACAGAAUAAGCACCGGCUAACUUCGUGCCAGCAGCCGCGGUAAUACGAAGGGUGCAAGCGUUAAUCGGAAUUACUGGGCGUAAAGCGCGCGUAGGUGGUUUUGUAAGUUGGAGGUGAAAUCCCCGGGCUCAACCUGGGAACUGCGUCCAAAACUGCAUGACUAGAGUACGGUAGAGGGUAGUGGAAUUUCCUGUGUAGCGGUGAAAUGCGUAGAUAUAGGAAGGAACACCAGUGGCGAAGGCGACUACCUGGACUGAUACUGACACUGAGGUGCGAAAGCGUGGGGAGCAAACAGGAUUAGAUACCCGGGUAGUCC